AGAGGGAUGGAUGGAGAUGGAGGGAACCAUCAUAGAAGAUGAGACAUAGAUGAGUAGAAAGAGGAGGAGAAUAAUGGGUUGUUGAUAAAAAGAGAUGGAUGUGAAGGAUGUCAUCGUAGAGGGGUGGAGUCAUGAAUGGGUUUGGAGGAAGAAAAGGAUGAUGAGGAGGAAGAAGAUGAGGAAAAAAAGUAGAUGAGGAGCAA
This 203-nucleotide long non-coding RNA is filed under the name Elaeis guineensis (African oil palm). RNAcentral describes it as "long non-coding RNA (EGUI_LNC019870)". The record is from RNAcentral. Lineage: Eukaryota; Viridiplantae; Streptophyta; Magnoliopsida; Arecales; Arecaceae.